This 914-nucleotide ribosomal RNA is filed under the name uncultured archaeon. RNAcentral describes it as "bacterial SSU rRNA". It matches the Rfam family "Archaeal small subunit ribosomal RNA", at positions 1 to 922 of the family's 1478-position model. The record is from RNAcentral.
UUCCGGUUGAUCCCGCCGGACCUGACUGCUAUCGGAUUGAUACUAAGCCAUGCGAGUCAUUGUAGCAAUACAAGGCAGACGGCUCAGUAACGCGUAGUCAACCUACCCUAUGGACGGGAAUAACCUCGGGAAACUGAGUAUAAUGCCCGAUAGAACAUUAUACCUGGAAUGGUUUAUGUUCCAAAUGAUUUAUCGCCGUAGGAUGGGACUGCGGCCUAUCAGUUUGUUGGUGAGGUAAUGGCCCACCAAGACUAUUACAGGUACGGGCUCUGAGAGGAGUGGCCCGGAGAUGGGUACUGAAACACGGACCCAGGCCCUAUGGGGCGCAGCAGGCGAGAAAACUUUGCAAUGUGCGAAAGCACGACAAGGUUAAUCCGAGUGGUUUCUGCUAAAGGAACCUUUUGUUAGUCCUAAAAACACUAACGAAUAAGGGGUGGGCAAGUUCUGGUGUCAGCCGCCGCGGUAAAACCAGCACCUCAAGUGGUCAGGAUGAUUAUUGGGCCUAAAGCAUCCGUAGCCGGCUCUGUAAGUUUUCGGUCGAAUCUGUACGCUUAACGUACAGGCUGCCGGGAAUACUGCAGAGCUAGGGAGUGGGAGAGGUAGACGGUACUCGGGAGGAAGUGGUAAAAUGCUUUGAUCUCUCGAUGACCACCUGUGGCGAAGGCGGUCUACCAGAACACGUCCGACGGUGAGGGAUGAAAGCUGGGGGAGCAAACCGGAUUAGAUACCCGGGUAGUCCCAGCUGUAAACUAUGCAAACUCAGUGAUGCAUUGGCUUGUGGCCAAUGCAGUGUUGCAGGGAAGCCGUUAAGUUUGCCGCCUGGGAAGUACGUACGCAAGUAUGAAACUUAAAGGAAUUGGCGGGGGAGCACCACAAGGGGUGAAGCCUGCGGUUCAAUUGGAUUCAACGCCGGA